RNAcentral lists this ribosomal RNA (492 nucleotides) under uncultured bacterium. Its description in RNAcentral is "partial 16S ribosomal RNA". It matches the Rfam family "Bacterial small subunit ribosomal RNA", at positions 28 to 507 of the family's 1533-position model. The record is from RNAcentral.
GAUGAACGCUGGCGGCGUGCCUAAUACAUGCAAGUCGAGCGGCAACACAGUGAGCUUGUGCCCUUACGGGUAGCGGCGGACGGGUGGGUAACGCGUGGAUAAGCUUCUACUUUUUCGUGGAGGAUAUCGUGAAACGACUUCCAAUACCACCUAAUACGAUCUACGGCAGGAUUCAGGGGAGCUUGAGGCCUUUGGCGCAUGAAAUAGCCGAUGUCGGAUUAGCUAGUUGGGUGGGUAAGGGCCCACCAAGCCGAGGAUCCGUAGCUGGCCUGAGAGGAUGGCCAGCCACACUGGAACUGAGACACGGUCCAGACUCCUACGGGAGGCAGCAGUGGGGAAUAUUGGACAAUGGGCGAAAGCCUGACGCAGCAAUCCCGCGUGGGUGAAGAAGGUCUUCGGGUUGUAAAGCCCUUUUGUUGGGAAAGAAAAGCAGCAGAUUAAAACCCCGAUGUUGUGACGGUACCUAACCAGAAAGCAACGGCUAACUACGUG